AGAGUUUGAUCAUGGCUCAGGACGAACGCUGGCGGCGUGCUUAACACAUGCAAGUCGAACGAAGCUUGAUUACGGAUUCUUCGGAUGAAGUAUGAUAUGACUGAGUGGCGGACGGGUGAGUAACGCGUGAGUAACCUGCCCUUCAGAGGGGGAUAGCGUUUGGAAACGAACGGUAAUACCGCAUAAUGUAUUUUGACCGCAUGAUCGAAAUACCAAAGAUUUAUCGCUGAAGGAUGGACUCGCGUCUGAUUAGGUAGUUGGUGGGGUAACGGCCUACCAAGCCGACGAUCAGUAGCCGGACUGAGAGGUUGAUCGGCCACAUUGGGACUGAGACACGGCCCAGACUCCUACGGGAGGCAGCAGUGGGGAAUAUUGCACAAUGGGCGCAAGCCUGAUGCAGCAACGCCGCGUGAAGGAAGACGGUUUUCGGAUUGUAAACUUCUGUUCUUAGUGAAGAAUAAUGACGGUAGCUAAGGAGCAAGCCACGGCUAACUACGUGCCAGCAGCCGCGGUAGUACGUAGGUGGCAAGCGUUGUCCGGAAUUACUGGGUGUAAAGGGAGCGCAGGCGGGUGAUCAAGUCAGCUGUGAAAACUACGGGCUUAACCCGUAGACUGCAGUUGAAACUGUUCAUCUUGAGUGAAGUAGAGGUUGGCGGAAUUCCGAGUGUAGCGGUGAAAUGCGUAGAUAUUCGGAGGAACACCGGUGGCGAAGGCGGCCAACUGGGCUUUAACUGACGCUGAGGCUCGAAAGUGUGGGGAGCAAACAGGAUUAGAUACCCUGGUAGUCCACACUGUAAACGAUGAUUGCUAGGUGUGGGGGGUCUGACCCCUUCCGUGCCGGAGCUAACGCAAUAAGCAAUCCACCUGGGGAGUACGACCGCAAGGUUGAAACUCAAAGGAAUUGACGGGGGCCCGCACAAGCGGAGGAACAUGUGGUUUAAUUCGAUGAUACGCGAGGAACCUUACCCGGGCUUGAAUUGCAGAGGAAGGAUUGGAGACAAUGACGCCCUUCGGGGCCUCUGUGAAGGUGCUGCAUGGUUGUCGUCAGCUCGUGCCGUGAGGUGUCGGCUUAAGUGCCAUAACGAGCGCAACCCCUCUCCUUAGUUGCCAUCAGGUUAAGCUGGGCACUCUGGGGACACUGCCACCGUAAGGUGUGAGGAAGGUGGGGAUGACGUCAAAUCAGCACGGCCCUUACGUCCGGGGCUACACACGUGUUACAAUGGCAGGUACAGAGAGACGGUUGUACGUAAGUACGAUCAAAUCCUUAAAGCCUGUCUCAGUUCGGACUGGGGUCUGCAACCCGACCCCACGAAGCUGGAUUCGCUAGUAAUCGCGCAUCAGCCAUGGCGCGGUGAAUACGUUCCCGGGCCUUGUACACACCGCCCGUCAAGCCAUGAAAGCCGGGGGCGCCUAAAGUCCGUGACCGUAAGGAGCGGCCUAGGGCGAAACUGGUAAUUGGGGCUAAGUCGUAACAAGGUA
Molecule: ribosomal RNA, 1479 nt
Filed under: metagenome
Description: bacterial SSU rRNA
Rfam family: Bacterial small subunit ribosomal RNA
Source: RNAcentral